This 253-nucleotide ribosomal RNA is filed under the name uncultured bacterium. Its description in RNAcentral is "partial 16S ribosomal RNA". It matches the Rfam family "Bacterial small subunit ribosomal RNA", at positions 524 to 776 of the family's 1533-position model. The record is from RNAcentral.
GACAGAGGGUGCAAACGUUGUUCGGAAUUACUGGGCGUAAAGCGCGUGUAGGCGGCUAAGUAAGUCGGGCGUGAAAUCCCACGGCUCAACCGUGGAAGUGCACUCGAAACUGCAUAGCUAGAGUCCUGGAGAGGAAGGUGGAAUGCUUGGUGUAGAGGUGAAAUUCGUAGAUAUCAAGCGGAACACCGGUGGCGAAGGCGGCCUUCUGGACAGUGACUGACGCUGAGGCACGAAGGCCAGGGGAGCAAACGGG